Molecule: ribosomal RNA, 253 nt
Filed under: uncultured bacterium
Lineage: Bacteria
Description: partial 16S ribosomal RNA
Rfam family: Bacterial small subunit ribosomal RNA
Source: RNAcentral
UACAGAGGUGUCAAACGUUGUCCGGAAUUACUGGGCGUAAAGGGCGCGUAGGCGGCCUGGUAAGUAGGGGGUGAAAUCCUGCGGCUUAACCGCAGGGCUGCCUUCUAAACUGUCAGGCUUGAGCACGGUAGAGGCAGAUGGAAUUCCCGGUGUAGCGGUGGAAUGCGUAGAGAUCGGGAAGAACAUCAGUGGCGAAGGCGGUCUGCUGGGCCGUUGCUGACGCUGAGGCGCGACAGCGUGGGGAGCAAACAGG